RNAcentral lists this ribosomal RNA (739 nucleotides) under Microbacterium paraoxydans. RNAcentral describes it as "bacterial SSU rRNA". It matches the Rfam family "Bacterial small subunit ribosomal RNA", at positions 799 to 1533 of the family's 1533-position model. The record is from RNAcentral. Lineage: Bacteria; Bacillati; Actinomycetota; Actinomycetes; Micrococcales; Microbacteriaceae.
GGUGCUUACGCAGUGACUAGUUGUGGGGACCAUUCCACGGUUUCCGUGACGCAGCUAACGCAUUAAGUUCCCCGCCUGGGGAGUACGGCCGCAAGGCUAAAACUCAAAGGAAUUGACGGGGACCCGCACAAGCGGCGGAGCAUGCGGAUUAAUUCGAUGCAACGCGAAGAACCUUACCAAGGCUUGACAUAUACGAGAACGGGCCAGAAAUGGUCAACUCUUUGGACACUCGUAAACAGGUGGUGCAUGGUUGUCGUCAGCUCGUGUCGUGAGAUGUUGGGUUAAGUCCCGCAACGAGCGCAACCCUCGUUCUAUGUUGCCAGCACGUAAUGGUGGGAACUCAUGGGAUACUGCCGGGGUCAACUCGGAGGAAGGUGGGGAUGACGUCAAAUCAUCAUGCCCCUUAUGUCUUGGGCUUCACGCAUGCUACAAUGGCCGGUACAAAGGGCUGCAAUACCGUAAGGUGGAGCGAAUCCCAAAAAGCCGGUCCCAGUUCGGAUUGAGGUCUGCAACUCGACCUCAUGAAGUCGGAGUCGCUAGUAAUCGCAGAUCAGCAACGCUGCGGUGAAUACGUUCCCGGGUCUUGUACACACCGCCCGUCAAGUCAUGAAAGUCGGUAACACCUGAAGCCGGUGGCCCAACCCUUGUGGAGGGAGCCGUCGAAGGUGGGAUCGGUAAUUAGGACUAAGUCGUAACAAGGUAGCCGUACCGGAAGGUGCGGCUGGUUCCCCCCUCCUUU